UACGUAGGAGGCGAGCGUUGUCCGGAAUUAUUGGGCGUAAAGAGCUCGUAGGUGGCCUGUCGCGUCGGCUGUGAGAACUCGGGGCUCGAACUCCGAGCUUGCAGUCGAUACGGGCAGGCUAGAGUUCGGGCAGGGGAGACUGGAAUUCCUGUGGUAGCGGUGGAAAUGCGGCAGAUAUCAAGGAGGAACACCGGUGGCGA
Molecule: ribosomal RNA, 200 nt
Filed under: uncultured bacterium
Lineage: Bacteria
Description: partial 16S ribosomal RNA
Rfam family: Bacterial small subunit ribosomal RNA
Source: RNAcentral